Molecule: long non-coding RNA, 2058 nt
Filed under: Varroa destructor (honeybee mite)
Lineage: Eukaryota; Metazoa; Arthropoda; Arachnida; Mesostigmata; Varroidae
Description: uncharacterized LOC111250790, transcript variant X4
Source: RNAcentral
CAAGAUCGGAGGCAGUUUAGCUCGAAUCUUGUUGAAAGUCAGAUGCUUUUGGCAGUUUUGAGCUCGUACUCUUGGCAUUAACAAAAUGUCGAUUUGUGAUCUUUUUCAAAACGGCCAUUACUCAUACAUCCGUACGUUACAUAUUCGUCGAAGGCAACGAAAUGGUUAUGAGAAUUCAGGUCACGUGUUUCUAGUUUGAUUUAUAUAGAAGGCACUAAGGACAACCACCUGAUAAGAAUCACGUGCUUAUUGUGCUCUGUAUUUUAUUCUUAAGCAUUACUCUAUAUUCGUGUGGUUGUUAUUACUGGCUAAGUGAACUUAAAGGAGAUUAUUGAAUAGAAGUGCAAGUGAAAAUUACCGAAUAUAUUCGCCUCCAUUGUAUUUUAUAAUCGGCAGCAUAAAUCUGACCAGGAUCUUUCCGCUUCCGCAGAAGAGGGCGCCACCAUACACGGAGAAGUAGUCGCUGGAGUGACGGGUGUGAACGUAUACUGCUAGUACAAAAAAAGUUCGUAGACGAAAAUCGACUCUGACGAAGUUAGCCAGACGAGCAUCAUAUACAUGCAGGAGUACAAUCAGACGAAACCUCCUGGAUAUUAACUCUCUGCAGUGCGUGUUCCACUAUUGUCGAUGAGCUGCACAAAAAAAGUUAGAUUUCCACGGGAGUUGUGAGUGCAGCGAACAUCUUCGCCCAGCUAAGCGUUCUAUCUGCGUCUUACAGGUUCAUUUUCAGGAAUCGACUAUCCUAUCAAGGCACGUUGCUCGAUCUACGAUCCUCUCUGUGAUCAAACAAGGACAAGUGCACUGAACCAAGUCGCAACGGUAGAGCACUGAAUCACUACCGUAGGAACAUUGUGCCUGCGUUCAUCAAACGUUUCAUAUUCGAGAACGGUUGCCUCGGCCUACCGAAAGACCAGUCGGCCGUAUAGUGGAAUUAAGCAAACCACUCGUAACGACCUGCGACGCGCUGGAGACACGAACAUAUACGAAAAAAGAUGGCGUACAUCGUGUUAAUCUUCGUCACUAAUAUCCAGAACUAUGAUACUGCAAACAAAAAGUGUUUCUAGUCGUCCUGUGCGGGCAUUUCGUAGUAACGACAUUGGCAACGAUUUUAUGGAUAGUUAUGAUGGAUUACAGCACAGACAAGUGUAAUACAAAAUUUAUUUCAUCACCCUAUAUCUAGGCCGAUUCGCAAUGGAAAACCGUGAUACUAUGAUCUACGUUACACUCUACGGCAUAACACCAAACGACAGUAGUUGGCUGAGACUUACUAUUGUGGAUUGAGUGCUGAAUAAAACGAGGAAAGAUAAUUUCUAUAAAUCCGGUCAAAUGGAGACGCGUCUCCACUACUCGUUCAUUCCUAACGAGGCAGUUAAUUUCAUAUCGAGCAUAUAGUGAAUCUGCGUAAAAGACGAAUUUAAGCCGUUAAAAAGGUCGAGUCAAAGUUAGAUACUUUGAACUUUUAUACCACUUAAAUGGUGGUUCUCCAUGAAGAUUUUCCAGAAGCCCAUAAGCCUGUUCUGACUUUCGUGUGUGAAAAACAUUUUUUCAGUUGAGGCUCCGAGGGCGGAUGCUUCUGAUGAACGUCUGUUAUAUUCCAUCUUCUGCUAGAAGUUGGAAAGGGAAGUCUGACUCGAUAGAAUUUUCUUAGUUUAAAGAUGGAACUUUAGAUAUCAGAAUUCAAAAAUCGAGCUUCUCUAUUAAUCCUAGUAACUGUUACCGGUGACGAGAAGCGAUGUCUGUACGUCAAAUUAGAGCACGAAGAUCAAUCGGUCGCCGUUUGAAAUGAGCUCAAGCUCGUAGUUACACAGGUCUUUUUUCAAAAAGGAUCAUGACAUUACCUUUGGAGCGGUUGUAUACAGAAAAAAAAAAGCCCUAGAAACAAGGUGGUCAUUCCGUUUCACAAUAAUAUUAAACUACACAUCGGAAAGACCGUAUGAUCAAGUUGCAGCAAGUACAUCAAACUAAUUCGAUGUCACAAUUCGAGCAAAACGCGCGGACAUUUGUUUCGUACAGUUGAGAACGAAAAAUUAAGCCAGUAAACUAUUAACACAAAUGAUU